RNAcentral lists this ribosomal RNA (222 nucleotides) under uncultured bacterium. Its description in RNAcentral is "partial 16S ribosomal RNA". It matches the Rfam family "Bacterial small subunit ribosomal RNA", at positions 128 to 334 of the family's 1533-position model. The record is from RNAcentral.
CCCUUCCAGAGGGGGACAACAGUUGGAAACGACUGCUAAUACCGCAUACGAUCUAAUCUCGGCAUCGAGGAUGGAUGAAAGGUGGCCUCUAUUUAUAAGCUAUCACUGAGGGAGGGGAUUGCGUCUGAUUAGCUAGUUGGAGGGGUAACGGCCCACCAAGGCGAUGAUCAGUAGCCGGUCUGAGAGGAUGAACGGCCACAUUGGGACUGAGACACGGCCCAG